ACUGAAAUAAAUAUACAAUAGCAGCUGCUUAGCUUAAAAAUGUUAAUCGGAAGAAGCAAAAGUGGAUAGCGUGGUGCCAGUAAGAUGGUAUCGAUAUGAUCUAGUCUUAAUUAAGUUAGUCGCAGUUAAGUGUUUAAAAAAAGUUUUACCAUAUAUUUUUAGACUAAUUUUUUAAUGUAUUGUGCUUGAAAAACGUUUAUUACAUAUUAAAUUAAAAUAUUUAUUUUCAGACGAAAAAUAAAACAUGUAAACAAUUUCUCUCUAUAUUUACUUGUUCAAGUGCCAGUGAAACGAACGAUAGAAAAAAAGAAGCAUUCAAAAUGUUCGCAAAAUUUUUGGUUUGGAUACAAAAACCAAGUGAAAAUGAUACUAGAAAGACUGUUUACCGUUUAACUCCUGUCCCAAUCUAACCUAGUGGCUUCAAAAAGAAGGGACCGCGCUGGAAACAGGAGUGAUUAAAAGGAUCAGCCCUUUUUGAAUUAAUAGUCAAAGCGGUAACCAGCUAGAAGUCGUAACCUGCUCGUAUGAAAGGAUUUCUCGACGUGAAAUUGUUAAUUUUAUUCAACAACGCCAAGAAACAGAGCUCGCUCAAGAAGCAGAAAAGAAAGAGAAAGAUGAAAAAAUAUUCUGCUGAACAAUACUAUUGUUUUAUUUAUAAAUUAUUCUCCUAUAUUUAAACAUAUAAAAGUUGUAGAAAAUGCUUCCUCUUUUAUA
Molecule: long non-coding RNA, 714 nt
Organism: Hydra vulgaris (swiftwater hydra)
Lineage: Eukaryota; Metazoa; Cnidaria; Hydrozoa; Anthoathecata; Hydridae
Source: RefSeq, a predicted model, not a curated record